CAUUGGACAAUGGGCGAAAGCCUGAUCCAGCAAUACCGCGUGUGUGAAGAAGGCCUUAGGGUUGUAAAGCACUUUCAAUUGGGAGGAAAACCUACCGGUCAAUACCCGGUAGCUUGACAUUACCUUUAGAAGAAGCACCGGCUAACUCCGUGCCAGCAGCCGCGGUAAUACGGAGGGUGCGAGCGUUAAUCGGAAUUACUGGGCGUAAAGCGUGCGUAGGCGGUUCGUUAAGUCAGAUGUGAAAGCCCUGGGCUCAACCUGGGAACGGCAUUUGAAACUGGCGGACUAGAGUUUAGUAGAGGGGAGUGGAAUUUCAGGUGUAGCGGUGAAAUGCGUAGAUAUCUGAAGGAACACCAGUGGCGAAGGCGACUCCCUGGACUAGAACUGACGCUGAGGUACGAAA
RNAcentral lists this ribosomal RNA (403 nucleotides) under uncultured bacterium. Its description in RNAcentral is "bacterial SSU rRNA". It matches the Rfam family "Bacterial small subunit ribosomal RNA", at positions 362 to 758 of the family's 1533-position model. The record is from RNAcentral.